RNAcentral lists this ribosomal RNA (400 nucleotides) under uncultured bacterium. Its description in RNAcentral is "bacterial SSU rRNA". It matches the Rfam family "Bacterial small subunit ribosomal RNA", at positions 28 to 430 of the family's 1533-position model. The record is from RNAcentral.
GACGAACGCUGGCGGCGUGCUUAACACAUGCAAGUCGAGCGGUAAGGCCCUUUCGGGGGUACGACGAGCGGCGAACGGGUGAGUAACACGUGGGUGACCUGCCCUCAGCUCUGGGAUAAGCCUGGGAAACCGGGUCUAAUACUGGAUAUGACUCCAUGACGCAUGUUGUGGGGUGGAAAGCCUUGUGCGGCUGAGGAUGGGCCCGCGGCCUAUCAGCUUGUUGGGUGGGGUGAGGCCUACCAAGGCGACGACGGGUAGCCGGCCUGAGAGGGCGACCGGCCACACUGGGACUGAGACACGGCCCAGACUCCUACGGGAGGCAGCAGUGGGGAAUCUUGCGCAAUGGGCGAAAGCCUGACGCAGCGACGCCGCGUGAGGGAUGACGGCCUCGGUUGGUAAC